GAUGAAGAACGUAGCGAAAUGCGAUAAGUAAUGUGAAUUGCAGAAUUCAGUGAAUCAUCGAAUCUUUGAACGCACAUUGCGCCCGCCAGCACUCUGGCGGGCAUGCCUGUUCGAGCGUCAUUUCAACCAUCAAGCCCCCAGGGGCUUGUGCUGGGGCCCUGCGGCUGCCCGCAGGCCCUGAAAACCAGUGGCGGGCUCGCUAGUCACACCGAGCGCAGUAGCACAUCUCACUCAGGGCGUGCGGCGGGCUCCUGCCGUGAAACCCCCCACUGUAACCCCAAAGGUUGACCUCGGAUCAGGUAGGAAUACCCGCUGAACUUAAGCAUAUCAAUAAGCGGAGGA
RNAcentral lists this unclassified non-coding RNA (342 nucleotides) under soil metagenome. RNAcentral describes it as "partial contains 5.8S ribosomal RNA, internal transcribed spacer 2, and large subunit ribosomal RNA". The stretch from base 1 to 120 matches the Rfam family "5.8S ribosomal RNA", at positions 35 to 154 of the family's 154-position model. The record is from RNAcentral.